RNAcentral lists this ribosomal RNA (1776 nucleotides) under Meloidogyne arenaria. Its description in RNAcentral is "SSU rRNA". It matches the Rfam family "Eukaryotic small subunit ribosomal RNA". The record is from RNAcentral. RNAcentral also lists the same sequence under 1 other name. Lineage: Eukaryota; Metazoa; Nematoda; Chromadorea; Rhabditida; Meloidogynidae.
UCUGGUUGAUCCUGCCUGAACUGAUGUGUUUAUUUCAAAGAUUAAGCCAUGCAUGUAUAAGUUUAAUCGUUUAUCGAGAAACCGCGAACGGCUCAUUACAAUGGCCAUUAUUUACUUGAUCUUGAUUGUCUAAAUGGAUAACUGUGGAAAAGCUAGAGCUAAUACAUGCACUAAAGCUUUGUCCUUACGGAAAAGCGCAUUUAUUAGAACAAAACCACGCGGCUUCGGCUGCUUCUUGUUGACUCAGAAUAACUUAGCUGACCGCAUGGCCUUGUGCCGGCGGCGUGUCUUUCAAGCGUCCACUUUAUCAACUUGACGGGAGCAUAAUCGACUCCCGUGGUGGUGACGGAUAACGGAGGAUCAGGGUUCGACUCCGGAGAAGGGGCCUGAGAAAUGGCCACUACGUCUAAGGAUGGCAGCAGGCGCGCAAAUUACCCACUCUCGGCUCGAGGAGGUAGUGACGAGAAAUAACGAGACUGUUCUCUUUGAGGCCGGUCAUCGGAAUGGGUACAAUUUAAACCCUUUAACGAGUAUCAAGCAGAGGGCAAGUCUGGUGCCAGCAGCCGCGGUAAUUCCAGCUCUGCAAAUACAUAGAAUUAUUGCUGCGGUUAGAAAGCUCAUAGUUGGAUUCGUAUCGAUACCUUGGAACCCUUCGGGUGUCUCUAGGUGUUAUCGAUUUAUCGUAAUGUUCGGUUUUGAGUCCUUAACAGGAUUCUUAACAGGCAUUGCAAGUUUACUUUGAACAAAUCAGAGUGCUUCAAACAGGCGUUUUCGCUUGAAUGAUCGUGCAUGGAAUAAUAGAAAAUGAUUUCGGUUCAGUUUUAUUGGUUUUACGGACUGAGAUAAUGGUUAACAGAGACAAACGGGGCAUUUGUAUGGUCCCGUGAGAGGUGAAAUUCUUGGACCGUGGCCAGACAAACUACAGCGAAAGCAUUUGCCAAGAAUGUUUUUAUUAAUCAAGAACGAAAGUCAGAGGUUCGAAGGCGAUCAGAUACCGCCCUAGUUCUGACCGUAAACGAUGCCAACUAGCGAUCCGCCGAUGGAAAUUAUAUUGCCUUGGUGGGGAGCUUCCCGGAAACGAAAGUCUUCCGGUUCCGGGGGAAGUAUGGUUGCAAAGCUGAAACUUAAAGGAAUUGACGGAAGGGCACCACCAGGAGUGGAGCCUGCGGCUUAAUUUGACUCAACACGGGGAAACUCACCCGGCCCGGACACUGUGAGGAUUGACAGAUUGAUAGCUUUUUCAUGAUUCAGUGGAUGGUGGUGCAUGGCCGUUCUUAGUUCGUGGAGUGAUUUGUCUGGUUUAUUCCGAUAACGAGCGAGACUCUAACCUACUAAAUAGUUGGUACAUACUCUUAGUGUAUACAGCUUCUUAGAGGGAUUUGCGGCGUUCAGCCGAAAGAAAUUGAGCAAUAACAGGUCUGUGAUGCCCUUAGAUGUCCGGGGCUGCACGCGCGCUACACUGGCAAAAUCAACGUGCUUGUCCUACCCUGAAAGGGGCGGGUAAACCAUUGAAAAUUUGCCGUGAUUGGGAUCGGAAAUUGCAAUUAUUUUCCGUGAACGAGGAAUUCCAAGUAAGUGCGAGUCAUCAGCUCGCGUUGAUUACGUCCCUGCCCUUUGUACACACCGCCCGUCGCUGCCCGGGACUGAGCCAUUUCGAGAAAUUUGGGGACCGUUGAUUUAAUUUUUCUAAAUUACUUUGAUGGAAACCAAUUUAAUCGCAGUGGCUUGAACCGGGCAAAAGUCGUAACAAGGUAGCUGUAGGUGAACCUGCUGCUG